UACACUUUAAAUCCUUUAACGAGGAUCUAUUGGAGGGCAAGUCUGGUGCCAGCAGCCGCGGUAAUUCCAGCUCCAAUAGCGUAUAUUAAAGUUGUUGCGGUUAAAAAGCUCGUAGUUGGAUCUCGGUUUCACUCAGGUGGUACACCUUGCGGUGUUCACUAUCUGGGUGGACGUUUCUGUUGGUUCGCUCUUGGUGCUCUUCAUCGGGUGCCAUUUGGUGGCCAGCACGUUUACUUUGAAAAAAUUGGAGUGCUCAAAGCAGGCGUUACAGCCUGAACAUUAGUGCAUGGAAUAAUGGAAUAGGAUCUCGAUUCUAUUUCGUUGGCUUUCGGAGUCGAGGUAAUGAUUAAUAGGGACAGACGGGGGCAUUCGUACUGCGACGUUAGAGGUGAAAUUCUUGGAUCGUCGCAAGACGAACUACUGCGAAAGCAUUUGCCAAGAAUGUUUUCAUUAAUCAAGAACGAAAGUUAGAGGUUCGAAGGCGAUCAGAUACCGCCCUAGUUCUAACCAUAAACGAUGCCAACCGGCGAUCCGUCGUCGUUAAUUGAAUGACUCGACGGGCAGCCUCCGGGAAACCAGAGUGUUUGGGUUCCGGGGGAAGUAUGGUUGCAAGCUGAAACUUAAAGGAAUUGACGGAAGGGCACCACCAGGAGUGGAGCCUGCGGCUUAAUUUGACCCAACACGGGAAAUCUCACCAGGCCCGGACACCGGAAGGAUUGACAGAUUGAGAGCUCUUUCUUGAUUCGGUGGGUGGUGGUGCAUGGCCGUUCUUAGUUGGUGGAGCGAUUUGUCUGGUUAAUUCCGAUAACGAACGAGACUCUGGCCUACUAACUAGAAGGUCUAUCCUUUAUGGGUAGGCCUCUGCUUCUUAGAGGGACGGGCGGCGUUUAGCCGCACGAGAAUGAGCAAUAACAGGUCUGUGAUGCCCUUAGAUGUUCUGGGCUGCACGCGCGCUACACUGAAGGAAUCAGCAUGUUCUCCCCUCCCUGAAAAGGGCGGGUAACCCGUUGAAACUCCUUCGUGAUGGGGAUUGGAGAUUGUAAUUAUUCUCCAUGAACGAGGAAUUCCCAGUAGGCGCGAGUCAUCAGCUUGCGUCGAUUACGUCCCUGCCCUUUGUACACACCGCCCGUCGCUACUACCGAUCGAGUGAUUUAGUGAGGACUUCGGACUGGUCUUCAAGUUGGCUUCGGUCGGCUCGAAGUUCCGGAAAGAUGCCCAAACUUGAUCACUUAGA
Molecule: ribosomal RNA, 1234 nt
Filed under: metagenome
Description: SSU rRNA
Rfam family: Eukaryotic small subunit ribosomal RNA
Source: RNAcentral